Molecule: long non-coding RNA, 1644 nt
Organism: Photinus pyralis (common eastern firefly)
Lineage: Eukaryota; Metazoa; Arthropoda; Insecta; Coleoptera; Lampyridae
Exons: 3
Source: RefSeq, a predicted model, not a curated record
UAUUUAUUGAAGUGUUUCAAAGAAAAUUAUACUGGUUUAGGUUGGUUUUAACACGUUUAUUGCUGCUGAGAGCAAGGCCCAAGUGCUUUAAAUUCUGAUUCUGUAGUAAGCAGACCUAGGCGGAACUACGGCUAUUACAAUAAAGACAUUAUUAUUGUUUUGUCAGUGGAGCAAUUGAAUCUCCAAGUUGGUUCUGUAAAUCGCACGCCAUUUCAUCGCGUUUUUGUGGCCAAUCGAUGCCGAGUACUGCCAUUUAUGCGUUCGCUCGUAGUAGACCGAAAAUGAACGGCUCGUUCAACGAAAAGAAAGCUCUCCCUCUUCACAGUUUAUUGGGAAAAUGGCAUACAAAGCUAAUAAAAUCUGGUCCAAAAGAAUGGAGAGUCGGAUGACGUUGGGGUCCGUUUUAGGUGUAGAGGUGUUGAAAGUAGUGUAGAAAUGCUUAGUAGACACUCACCUAAAAAAGUAUCAGAAAAAGACCCUGAGUCUGUUCUUCGAUGCAGUCCUUACCGAGUUUAGUAGCAAUUUGCCCACAAUUUUCAGGUUUAUUUUGUUCAGAUGACAAGCUACGAAAAUUGGUUCUUACUAAUGCAUUCUCUUGAGUAAUAUCUUUGAGCUUAAAGUUCCAAAUUACAAAAGUUCGAAGUUCUUCAAUUUCUUGUGUUGAUAUAAUAUGCCAUUUGAUUAUGCUAGAACACCCGUACGCAUUUAUUGUAAAAUGUUUAUGUGGAGUGUGGGAGAAAGGAGUGGUGUAAUAACCAGUGUAUUUAAUCCUGCCUCAGUGUCUCACUAUAGUACCUUUCCUACGACCCUCCAUUUUCGAGACAUUCACACGUAAAUUCAAUAAUGUCUCGUCUACACGUUCCAACCGCCUUUUGAAAGUCCCUCGAAACUCAGUUCUUCAGAUAUUUGCACGGAAAGUUUGGACCUCAUCAGUAGGUGUGUCUCGUCCAGACGUUCUACUUGCACUUUAUGAGUACCCUCUUUGGACACUAUUUUCUAGAUAUUCGUUUCGACUUCGCCAAUAGAUAUAUCUCGUCCGGACGAUUCAUUGUGUCUUUAUGAGUAUGUAUAUAUGUAUCAUAUGGGUGGCACUCACUAGGUACAACAGCCGUCUGUGUGACCUAACGACAGUCGUGCUAUGACUGCCGGGACCGGCAGCUUUACAUGCCCUCCAAAACAUGGUCGUCAGGAGGAGCUGUACCAAGAAAACCUGGCAAGUUGCGUGAUUCGAACUCACCACCUGUUAGGUCAGAGUCGGAAUCUUAAACCGUUACGUCAAAAUGAUUACUCUUUGUGAGUUGAACGUCCCAAUUGCCCGUUGUCCGUUGUGGACACCCUCCCCGGACACUCUCCUAUUGAGAUAUGAGAAUUAUGACGGAUCACGAUAAGGGUUCGAGGAGGACGACUGUGGUUGGUGUAAAUUAAUUCAUUUCGUUCGCUUUUCAUUAUAUAGUACAUUAAGGAUAAAAUGUAAUUAGAAGGGUUAAUUGCAGUAAGGCUGUGAUACCCACAGGAAACCAUCUCGCCACUUCUGGUUAAUGGGGGUAAUUAUAUAACUGCAAUUGAGUCUGGCAGUAGCCCAAGCUGAUGGCCGGACAGUCGGCAGAAGCUUACUAAGGCUACGUAGUUUAAACUAGAGAGCGC